Molecule: ribosomal RNA, 523 nt
Filed under: uncultured bacterium
Lineage: Bacteria
Description: bacterial SSU rRNA
Rfam family: Bacterial small subunit ribosomal RNA
Source: RNAcentral
AGAGUUUGAUCCUGGCUCAGAGUGAACGCUGGCGGCAGGCCUAACACAUGCAAGUCGAGCGGCAGCGCGGGGGCAACCCUGGCGGCGAGCGGCGGACGGGUGAGGAAUGCGUCGGAAUCUGCCUCUUUGUGGGGGAUAACGUAGGGAAACUUACGCUAAUACCGCAUACGACCUACGGGUGAAAGUGGGGGACCGCAAGGCCUCACGCAGAGAGAUGAGCCGACGCCGGAUUAGCUAGUUGGCGGGGUAAAGGCCCACCAAGGCGACGAUCCGUAGCUGGUCUGAGAGGAUGAUCAGCCACACUGGAACUGAGACACGGUCCAGACUCCUACGGGAGGCAGCAGUGGGGAAUAUUGGACAAUGGGCGCAAGCCUGAUCCAGCCAUGCCGCGUGUGUGAAGAAGGCCUUCGGGUUGUAAAGCACUUUUGUCCGGAAAGAAAUCCUUUCGAUUAAUACUCGGAAGGGAUGACGGUACCGGAAGAAUAAGCACCGGCUAACUUCGUGCCAGCAGCCGCGGUAAUUC